Molecule: unclassified non-coding RNA, 328 nt
Filed under: soil metagenome
Description: partial contains 5.8S ribosomal RNA, internal transcribed spacer 2, and large subunit ribosomal RNA
Rfam family: 5.8S ribosomal RNA (bases 1-120)
Source: RNAcentral
GAUGAAGAACGUAGUGAAAUGCGAUAAGUAGUGAGAAUUGCAGAAUUCAGUGAAUCAUCGAAUCUUUGAACGCACAUUGCGCCCCUUGGUAUUCCGAGGGGCAUGCCUGUUCGAGCGUCAUUAUAACCCUCAAGCUCAGCUUGGUGUUGGGGCCUGCUGCAGUGGCAGCCCUUAAAAUCAGUGGCGGCGCCAUCUGGCUCUAAGCGUAGUAAUUCUUCUCGCUAUGGAGUCCUGGUGGAUGCUUGCCAUCAACCCCCAAUUUUUCUAUGGUUGACCUCGGAUCAGGUAGGGAUACCCGCUGAACUUAAGCAUAUCAAUAAGCGGAGGA